This 694-nucleotide ribosomal RNA is filed under the name Triticum aestivum (bread wheat). RNAcentral's name for it is "partial small subunit ribosomal RNA". The record is from RNAcentral. Lineage: Eukaryota; Viridiplantae; Streptophyta; Magnoliopsida; Poales; Poaceae.
CUCAAUCAAUUCUAGCAUCAAAGAUAUGAUUUUCCUAUCCACUUCUUCAGCUAUUAAGAAAUUAUACUGCAGUUCAACCAGUCUUCCCCGAGCUUGUACCUAGCCUAGCCUAGCCUGUGGAGUACUAGAAGGAAGGUUGUUGUUCAUGAGGACAAUUGUCUCUAGCCCUAGUUUAUUCCUAUCAAGCAGUAUGCCAUCCAGUUAGAUCACCAGCUAACUACCACACAACUCCCGAGUAAACCACCGGUUCUGCAGCUCAAUCGAGGCGACUCUACUGAACAAAUUUGCGCACCAAUCAAAAGAGAGGGAAACAUCAGGGUGCUGGGCGGGGCGGGCUCCUUGCCUGGAGGGAGGGCUCGGCGGAGCUGAGGCGGUCAAGGGACAGCACGACCUUGGCGACGGCCGGGUUAGGGUUAGCUUCGCUGGAGGAGGCGGAGGCGCCCUGCCAGGCCAGGGAGACGACGGGGGAGCGCUUCAUGAGCCACACGGAGCGGUCCGCCCGCCCCGUCUCCAGGUACUUCGCCUCGUCGCCUAUCCCGCCGGCUGGCCGACCGCCGCGGGUGGUCUCGCGAUUUGGGGGGUUCGGGAGGCCGUUCGGUGGCGGCGCUAGGGUGACCGGGAGGAGCGGCGCGUGAUCUAUCGUGGCGGAGGACCGGAAUAGACUAGUCUAGACUGGCACGUGCGGAUGGCGUGG